GACGAACGCUGGCGGCGUGCUUAACACAUGCAAGUCGAACGGAAAGGCCCUGCUUUUGUGGGGUGCUCGAGUGGCGAACGGGUGAGUAACACGUGAGUAACCUGCCCUUGACUUUGGGAUAACUUCAGGAAACGGGGGUUACUCCCGUAUAGGAGCUCCUGCUCCGGGGUGGGGGUGGGAAAUUUUCGGCGGUUGGGGAUGGAUUCGCGGCUGAUGAGCUUGUUGGUGGGGUAGUGGCUUACCAAGGCUUUGAAGGGUAGCCGGCCUGAGAGGGUGACCGGCCACAUUGGGACUGAGAUACGGCCCAGACUCCUACGGGAGGCAGCAGUGGGGAAUAUUGCACAAUGGGCGGAAGCGUGAUGCAGCAACGCCGCGUGCGGGAUGACGGCCUGCGGGUUGUAAACCGCUUUCGCCUGUGACGAAGCGUGAGUGACGGUAAUGGGUAAAGAAGCACCGGCUAACUACGUG
RNAcentral lists this ribosomal RNA (468 nucleotides) under uncultured bacterium. RNAcentral describes it as "partial 16S ribosomal RNA". It matches the Rfam family "Bacterial small subunit ribosomal RNA", at positions 28 to 507 of the family's 1533-position model. The record is from RNAcentral.